Molecule: ribosomal RNA, 253 nt
Filed under: uncultured bacterium
Lineage: Bacteria
Description: partial 16S ribosomal RNA
Rfam family: Bacterial small subunit ribosomal RNA
Source: RNAcentral
UACGUAGGGUGCAAGCGUUGUCCGGAAUUAUUGGGCGUAAAGCGUGCGCAGGCGGUUUUGUAAGACAGGCGUGAAAUCCCCGAGCUCAACUUGGGAAUUGCGCUUGUGACUGCAAGGCUAGAGUAUGUCAGAGGGGGGUAGAAUUCCACGUGUAGCAGUGAAAUGCGUAGAGAUGUGGAGGAAUACCGAUGGCGAAGGCAGCCCCCUGGGACGUCACUGACGCUCAUGCACGAAAGCGUGGGGAGCAAACAGG